This 432-nucleotide ribosomal RNA is filed under the name uncultured bacterium. RNAcentral describes it as "bacterial SSU rRNA". It matches the Rfam family "Bacterial small subunit ribosomal RNA", at positions 855 to 1290 of the family's 1533-position model. The record is from RNAcentral.
ACGCAAUAAGUAUCCCGCCUGGGGAGUACGGCCGCAAGGUUGAAACUCAAAGGAAUUGACGGGGGCCCGCACAAGCAGCGGAGCAUGUGGUUUAAUUCGAAGCAACGCGAAGAACCUUACCAGAACUUGACAUCUCCUGCAUUACUCGUAACUGAGGAAGUCCUUCGGGACAGGAAGACAGGUGGUGCAUGGUUGUCGUCAGCUCGUGUCGUGAGAUGUUGGGUUAAGUCCCGCAACGAGCGCAACCCUUAUCAUUAGUUGCCAGCAGUAAGAUGGGCACUCUAGUGAGACUGCCGGAGACAAUUCGGAGGAAGGCGGGGAUGACGUCAAAUCAUCAUGCCCCUUAUGUUCUGGGCUACACACGUGCUACAAUGGGCGCAACAACGGGAAGCAAGCUAGUGAUAGUGAGCAAAUCCCUAAAAAUCGCUCUCA